CGAAAUUGAUCACGUCGAGCAUUACGAUCGAAUCGAACGAAGAUGCCGAAUCAAGACGGCACUGGUCCCAUUUCUUAUCAUAUAUAUAUAUAUAUAUAUCACGUUUUGUUCAAGUACGCGGGGUUUAAUCGUGUCAAGCCUAGCAUGAAGAUGGUCGCUCGAUUAACUCUUUCGACCAUGUUGAGCCUAUCACGAAGAUGGCCGCACGAUUUACGUAAAAAUAUCUCGUUCGAUCAAUCAUUUUGACUAUGUCGAGCCUAUCGCGAAGAUGGCCGCACGGUUUACGUAGUAAAGCAUGCGGUUCGAUCAAUCAUUUUGACCAUGUCGAGCUUAUCGCGAAGAUAGCCGCACGGUUUAGAGAUUAGUGAUGCAUACGCUCGGCGAAAGUGACGAUUUGAUGUCAAAUUUGAUCGGUUCGAAACCUAUCACGAAAAUGGUCGGGUUGAUUAAAUUGACAAAAAAACGCACUUAUGCUAUGCGUAUGCAUACAUAUCUCCUAUUGUUGUAGAAAUCGUUGUGAUUGUUGUUAUCGAAUUCGUAGUCGAAU
This 547-nucleotide long non-coding RNA is filed under the name Ananas comosus (pineapple). RNAcentral describes it as "long non-coding RNA (ACOM_LNC009282)". The record is from RNAcentral. Lineage: Eukaryota; Viridiplantae; Streptophyta; Magnoliopsida; Poales; Bromeliaceae.